UAAGACGAACCGAGCGAACGUUAUUCGGAAUCACUGGGCUUAAAGGGCGCGUAGGCGGGCCAUCAAGUCAGGGGUGAAAGCCCCCAGCUCAACUGGGGAAGUGCCUCUGAUACUGGUGGUCUCGAGGGAGGUAGGGGCGUGCGGAACUUCCGGUGGAGCGGUGAAAUGCGUAGAUAUCGGAAGGAACACCGGUGGCGAAAGCGGCGCGCUGGACCUCUUCUGACGCUGAGGCGCGAAAGCCAGGGGAGCGAACGGGAUUAGAUACCCCGGUAGUCCUGGCCCUAAACGUUGGGCACUAGGUUGUGGGCUUACGUGGGCUCACAGCCGGAGCAAAAGUAUUAAGUGCCCCGCCUGGGGAGUAUGGUCGCAAGGCUG
RNAcentral lists this ribosomal RNA (375 nucleotides) under uncultured bacterium. RNAcentral describes it as "bacterial SSU rRNA". It matches the Rfam family "Bacterial small subunit ribosomal RNA", at positions 521 to 896 of the family's 1533-position model. The record is from RNAcentral.